CCUACGGGGGACAGCAGUGGGGAAUAUUGCACAAUGGGGGAAACCCUGAUGCAGCGACGCCGCGUGGGUGACGAAGUAUUUCGGUAUGUAAAGCCCUAUCAGCAGGGAAGAAGAUGACAGUACCUGACUAAGAAGCCCCGGCUAACUACGUGCCAGCAGCCGCGGUAAUACGUAGGGGGCAAGCGUUAUCCGGAUUUACUGGGUGUAAAGGGAGCGUAGGUGGCAUGGCAAGCCAGAAGUGAAAACCCGGGGCUUACCCCCGCGGAUUGCUUUUGGAACUGUCAGGCUGGAGUGCAGGAGGGGCAGGCGGAAUUCCUGGUGUAGCGGUGAAAUGCGUAGAUAUCAGGAGGAACACCGGUGGCGAAGGCGGCCUGCUGGACUGUAACUGACACUGAGGCUCGAAAGCGUGGGGAGCGAACAGGAUUAGAUACCCUUGUAGUC
Molecule: ribosomal RNA, 441 nt
Filed under: uncultured bacterium
Lineage: Bacteria
Description: partial 16S ribosomal RNA
Rfam family: Bacterial small subunit ribosomal RNA
Source: RNAcentral